Molecule: long non-coding RNA, 5798 nt
Organism: Wyeomyia smithii (pitcher-plant mosquito)
Lineage: Eukaryota; Metazoa; Arthropoda; Insecta; Diptera; Culicidae
Exons: 3
Source: RefSeq, a predicted model, not a curated record
AUUACAUAUUACAUAAUAUUUUACAUGUUACAUUAUUCGUGUUACAUUAAGUGUAACAUGUUACAAAUUACGUGUGCCAUGUACAAAACAAGUGGCAUGUUCCUUAUCACAUGUUAUAUGCUACAUGUUACGUGUUACAUGAUAGUAUUACAUCGAUUUAUGUACAUAGACCACUCUGUUCCGAAACAAAACGGCCAUUCUGUUUCGGACGAAUUUUCAACACGGAAUAAAUCAGCUUUAAAAUUCGAUUUUCCGAUAUUUUCUUAAUCUCCCAACUUCAGCUUCUUGAGUAGAUGCGGUUUAUACAAAAAGCUCAUUUUCGAAAAAAAUGGUCUUUAGACCACUCUGUUCCGCAACGGCUCAAAUGACAAUGACAGCUCCUUUUGAGCUUAUAGCAAAACUGGCAGUAUGUGACGUACUCGAAAAUAGCGAAAAUCGCUCGAAUCGAGCUGCACAAUGCCACCCCAGGUUUUUUUUUAAAUAUUACUGAGUACAAUUCGUGCCUUCCUGACAGAACCGCACCACUGGAAAGGACAUCCCCUAUCGUGAACUAACGAAAAAGUCGCGAUUGAAGAUGAGACCAUGAUAAUUAUUAGUCAAAAUCUCGAUCAUGCAAGUGACAAAUUUUAGGGACCUAUUGCAAAAACUCGGACUCUUCUACGCAAAAUUCAUCAAACGGUAGGUUUAUCAGGGUCUGCCACAAAAGAUUAUUAAUAUAAUGGUCGCAGUGGCUCUUUUAGUCCCAAUGCCCUUCAGGCAUAAAAAAAGGGUUCAUCAGAGCAACGAAUAAUUGUUUGCAUGCUUUUGUUAGUGAAAGUUUCCAAAAAACAAUCUUAUCAUGUCCCUUUUUUGAACCCAUUUGUUCCGUUUUGAUCCAGAGAAAAUCUGGUCAGCCUACAUCUGAUCGAAUAUUUUUCACUGGGAUUCCAGAGUUGCGCUCAUCCACGUUGCUUGUUUGUACUGAAUUAAGAAAAUAAACUUCAUUCGAAUCGGAGUAUCGGGUAUACGUUUCUCAUUUUCGCCCGAAUCCAUUUGACCGUAUUGUUGAUAUGAAACAUUACCAGGGUGGCGAAAAAGUUUUUAUAUAGCUUUUUAUAUCGGAAGCCUCGAAAUCCACAAAAACCCGCGAAAUGCGGCGAAAGUAAUGAAAAACAGCAACAUUGUAUGUCAAUCAUAAAACAUUUCGAUUUAAAAACUGUGAAAUUCAUGAAAACAAUUAACACGGGAACUUCGAUGGCAACGAGAGGUUUUUUCCUACGCAACCAAUAAGAUGAAACAGUACUACUGCUCUCUUAUAACGCGAUUUUGUCGGUUUGAGUUGAAUUGUUUUCGGACGUGUUUUAUUCUCAUAUAUUCAAACUACAGAAUGUCUUUUAAAAGAUUUGGAUUUAUUCGAUGUUACUCUUUGAACUGCUAAUGAGAGAAUGAAUGGGUCGUACAGAAUUGAUGCCAGCCAAACAGGUAGCGUUUUAUCUCUUACAUAGACGAGGGGUUAUUGAAUACCGAAACAUCCUCCCUACUAAAACAACAAAAGCUAUUCCAAACAAUAGUCUUUAUAUCUAGCUGGAACACGAAUUUCUCUUUUAGGUUUUGUAUUAGAUAUCUUGUCAGACUUUUGUGAAACACGUGCACCUGCUUCAAUAAAAGGUGAUGUGGUAACACAUGAUGACAACUCUGUGAACGAACUCGACGGUAUGGAUGGCGAUGCAAUCACAGUAGGCUGCGGUGAAAAUUUUCCGAUUGACUGUCAUUAUUGUUCUCACUGUUGACGGGAGUUCUCUCACAUUCGGAUCUCUGUGUCACAGCUUCAAGUGAAGGAGUUCCUGACGGCGGAAUUUGGUCGAGCGUACUGUUGAAUUCUUUACGCGGCUUCAAAUGCACCAAGCUUCGUCGAUAGUCUACACCUUCCACAUUUACUUGAUAGGAUCGGUCGUUAAAGCGGUUUGAAACUUUUCCAGGAGUCCGCUGUUUGGAUUUUUCCGGAUGUAAUUGGACAUACACAGGACUUUCGGUUCAGUUCUAUUGCCGCAGGAACAUCUCUGAUAACGUUUGGAAAUAGGCGCAUUGCCGACGACGGUACUCCACAACGCGUAGAGCGCGAAAAUAAACGAGCUGCUGCACUUGAUCCAAUCUUAUUUGGAAUAUUCCUCCAAUGCAGGAGUGCGUAACAAAAGUCAACUGAUUCGUUUGCCUUUUUAAGCAACUGCUUUGCAAUUUUCACGGCAGCCUCCGAUUUACCGUUGGCUUGUUGAUGAAGUUACCAGCUCACAUAGGCGUAGCCAGAGGGGGGCAGGGGGGGGGGGCGUCCCCCCCCCCUAAAUGUUGACAUUGGUGCAGAAUUAUGUUUUCAAUAACUCUAAUAGCACAAAACGACAUCUUUAGCCCAUAGAAACAUCUGUGUAAAGUAUCAGCCAGAUCAAAAACAAUUGAUUGAAAUGCUUGCCCUAUGUUGCGUGUAAUUGCACAGGUUUUUCAGUUGAUCCACCAAGGAUAUUGCAGCGGCAAAAGUACCUGGCAAAUCUGCCUGCAUCAACUAGCUUGGAGUAUUGGAACCGACCUGUGACAAUUCCUUACCUUGAUUCUCUUGUAACCUCAUUGGAAACACGGUUCGAUGAAGAUAGUGCACCUGCCUAUGCGUUGUCCUUGCUGCAUCCCGCUAACGUAAUACGCAUGUUGUUGGAAAAGAUCAAGCACAAAACCGAAAAUUUCGUAAUUUUCUAUGAAGUUGACAAUUCUGUUGGAGAGGUGGAAGUUUUGUAUUAACAUUGCAGCAGUAUGAGAGCAGACCGUAAGAACUUGGAAGAGUUGGAUCUUAUAGACCUGCUAGCUAAAGCCCGUUCUUUCUUCCCUGCGACUUAGAAAGCAGUUGAAAUUGCACUUGGUCUACCAUGGAAACAUGCACGAUUGAACGCUCGUUCAACACAUUACGUCGGGUGAAAACCUGGCUGAGGUCAACAAUAUUUGAACAGUGGUUGAGUGCUUUCUGCUUGCUGAGUGUUCUUCGGCAGAUGGCCAACAACAAUCGUGAAAAGACACAUGAACCGCUUCCGGGACGUUUGAUGCCCGAAGAUUUUAUUGAGAAUCUUGACUGUGCCUUCAAUCUUCACGAGCUUGAGAAGAUUUGACAGGAUGUAGCUGAGAUAGCAGCUGUGCGAAUGGGAGUCCAGCUUCCAGAGAAGUAAACGUUCCUUCGCCGCAUUAUUCAGCUGGCCUGCAUCGUUCUCGAAGAGGUGCUGGCAGCGGUUAAACAACAACGUCCGAACGUAACUCCGUUUUCUUCGUCGAAGACAAACUCGAUGAUAUUCGAAGCGAGGGACUCCAAAAUCUGCUCCGGGGUUUGAUACUGACGCUGCUGCUGCUGAACCGCUAUCCGCUGUAAAAUUUGGGCCAUCUUGUGAAUCAUCUCUUGAAUUCCCGGUUGCAGCUGCUGAUCAACUCUAUCUUCUGCCAUGUUCGUGGAUUCUUGAGAUCCUCGUCGCCAAAAUAAAGAAGUAGUAGAGAAUAUCUAUUUAUAUUCGAGGUUGGACAAAGAAUAAUCAAAUUUUCCACUCUGGUGUCAAGGACAACUUUUCACUGGUUGCCUUGCCGUUACAAUCACUAAAGACCAGCGAUGGAAGAAAAUCGUUUCUAGCGAUUUUUGAAUACAUAUAUAUCUCCUUUGUGAUGCAUUAACAUCGCUGUCAGUGUGCGAUAUACAUUUAUUCUUCUCACAUUUGCAAGCAGAUCUAUGUGUAAGACGAGUUACGAGGAUUGCAAAGGAGCACCAUGUAUAUAGUAUCCCUGCUGGCGUCCUCUCUUUCGCUUCCUUCGCACUAUUAACCUCUUCUCGUUCGUGCUAACAACAACAUCUGUAUCUAAAUGUGCACAGCUGAGUAUAUGGAGUUAGUCGCAAUAUGUACAUAUGAUGAACAAAGAUCAUUCAUGAUCAUUCUGCCAAUGAUUGUGAUUUUUGUCAAAAAAAGGUUAAUAUAUCCGCAAAAAGUUCGGCAAGUUUUCGCAGUAGAGAAUGGCGGUUUCAGAUGCAUCGCGGCGGAGAGAUGCACUUACCGGCCACAAACUAUAAUCAUUUCAAACUGCCAUCGGCAUCUCCGGGAGCAGCACCCCAUUGAAUUUAAUAUUUUAAAUUUCGGAAAACGGCUGAUGAAGAUGACGAAGUAAAAAACCUUUUGCGCCGCAAAAGAAUUAAACACGCUGGGCAACCGGAUGAGUCCACGAUAGUGAGAGUGCACCGGCGGAAAAUUAUUGGUGGGCUGAUUAAACUAUGUACACUAGGGUGCCAAUCAUCGUAUGGAAACCGAACUAUCACGCAAGGAGGGGGUACGUGAAAUUUCGGUUUUAGAUUUUUUUUUAUGCCAAAUGACCUAAAAACGCAUGCAACGUCGAGAACUGGUGUCAUCUAAAAAAAAAUUUUUUUUUUUGCAAAAAUCGACUCUUAAAACAUUUAGAAUUUAUUCAAUGAAAUUGAUCGCUAGUCUCUCGUAAUAGCCUGUAUAAUGAUAUACACUAUAACUAGCAUCGAAUACAUUAUGUUUCAUUAGGGUGGCUCAUUUAUUCGGCAUAGGGUGGUUCAUAAUAUUGUGUAAAAAUGAGUAUGAAAUGAAAAAAAUCACUUUUCACUCAAUACCAAGAGAAAAAUUCCUGAAAAUAUAAUAUUUGUUACAUCAUUGUCCUUAGGGUGUAACGAGCACCUUGGAACUAUUUAUUUUCAAAUGUGAAUCUUACUAAUGGUAAAGUUGAUCACAUAUGUUUUCUUAGUUAAUUUAGUUUGCAUUACUCAAAAUGCAUGCUAGUGUUAAUUUUAUAAUUUAUACGCUUCAAUAUUUUUUUAAAAAUAAUCUGCUGUUGAGAUUACCGCAACAGGCUCAAAAAGUAGUAAUUGGCAUAACAUUUGACCAGAGCAAUGAGUUCCCUUACGUUCGCUUACGUUGCUUUGCAUGCAUCGCUGGCGGUCGAAGAGUAGAUUGACCCAGCCGAAUAAGUCUAUUGACCUAUUGCGUCACUACGAGAGUUUCCUUUUUCUCUCUAUCCUCGGGGAUGGGAUACUGGAUGCUGGGUGGAAGAUGCACGCUAGAAGAAGAUGACUUUGCCGAAACUGCAACCUUCGGGUUUUAGCGUGGGCAAUGAUCCUCGCGAGACAGGUUCCGGUAACGAAGUUACCGUGGACGGUUGAUCUGAGGGACCCCAAUGCCUGAUCUUUCAUUCUUAGCUGACAAGUGCAUGAGGCAGGAUCAACCUGCAUUUUAGAGUUCCGCGCGUGUACUAAGACAGGUGGUUUUUAAACCAGUGGUAUCCCCUAAUUAGUGUAUUAAAGACAGUGUUUUUUCCUUAGAUAGCCUUUUCCCGGUAAAUAGCUAGGCAAAUCAGUGCAUGUGCGAAAUAGGAGAAAGUGUGCAAAGUGAGCAAGGAGGAUCGCUGCUAGUAAUCAUCCACUACACUUCCGUCAGCCCCAGCAGCAUUCCUAUGCAACACGAGCAUCGUCAAACGUUUAUGCCUGUACGGAACAGGCCAAAGGACCAAUAAUCGGCACCACUACCCUUGAUGAUCUCACCCGUCUAGUGAUCGAAGCGCACGCUGUGCGCUGCCAGACAGCAGAGCAGACAACCGAGGAGACAAUAGGCGAGACGACAGAGUGACAACCCCCGUUUUUGACCCAGCGUGGCGCUGGUAGCGUACCGAAAGGAAUUCGGUAAAGGAGCACCCGCGUGGCGCGGAGCAACAAGUGAAGCCGCAGAGCAGCAGUAAGCAGGCAUGGCGGCUACGCCAUGGUAAAACCUCAUGUAAGACCGGCUAUGAGUGAG